This 546-nucleotide ribosomal RNA is filed under the name uncultured Chloroflexota bacterium. RNAcentral describes it as "bacterial SSU rRNA". It matches the Rfam family "Bacterial small subunit ribosomal RNA", at positions 68 to 628 of the family's 1533-position model. The record is from RNAcentral. Lineage: Bacteria; Bacillati; Chloroflexota.
GAACCUUGGUAGUAAUACUUUGGCUCUUAGUGGCGAACGGGUGAGUAACGCGUUGGUGACCUACCCCAAAGUGGGGGAUAACAGAUCGAAAGGUCUGCUAAUACCUCAUGUUGUCAUCGUUUUUAGAAAGCGAUGACCAAAGGAGCAAUCCGCUUUGGGAGGGGCCUGCGUCCCAUCAGCUAGUUGGUAGGGUAAUGGCCUACCAAGGCAUCGACGGGUAAGGGACCUGAGAGGGUGGCCCCUCACAAUGGAACUGAAACACGGUCCAUACACCUACGGGUGGCAGCAGUAGGGAAUAUUGCACAAUGGGCGAAAGCCUGAUGCAGCAACGCCGCGUGUAUGAUGAAGGCCUUCGGGUCGUAAAAUACUUUUCAGGGAGAAGAGAAAGGACUGUACCCCUGGAAUAAGUCUCGGCUAACUACGUGCCAGCAGCCGCGGUAAAACGUAGGAGGCGAGCGUUAUCCGGAUUUACUGGGUGUAAAGCGCGUGCAGGCGGUUUGAUAAGUUGGAUGUGAAAGCUCCUGGCUCAACUGGGAGAGGUCGUUC